GAUGAACGCUGGCGGCGUGCCUAAUACAUGCAAGUCGAGCGAACAGACGAGGAGCUUGCUCCUCUGACGUUAGCUGCGGACGGGUGAGUAACACGUGGAUAACCUACCUAUAAGACUUGGAUAACUUCGGGAAACCGGAGCUAAUACCGGAUAAUAUAUUUAACCGCAUGGUUCAAUAGUUAAAGACGGUUUUGCUGUCACUUAUAGAUGGAUCCGCGCCGCAUUAGCUAGUUGGUAAGGUAACGGCUUACCAAGGCAACGAUGCGUAGCCGACCUGAGAGGGUGACCGGACAAACUGGAACUGAGACACGGUCCAGACUCCUACGGGAGGCAGCAGUAGGGAAUCUUCCGCAAUGGGCGGAAGCUUGACGGAGCAAAGCCGCGUGAGGGAUGAAGGUCUUCGGAUCGUAAAACUCUGUUAUUAGGGAAGAACAAAUGUGUAAGUAACUAUGCACGUCUUGACGGUACCUAAUCAGAACGGCACGGCUAACUACGUG
This 497-nucleotide ribosomal RNA is filed under the name uncultured bacterium. RNAcentral describes it as "partial 16S ribosomal RNA". It matches the Rfam family "Bacterial small subunit ribosomal RNA", at positions 28 to 507 of the family's 1533-position model. The record is from RNAcentral.